AAUAGAUACCCCGGUAGUCCUAGCCGUAAACGAUGGACACUAGGUGUUGGUGGUAUCAACCCCACCAGUGCCGAAGCUAACGCAUUAAGUGUCCCGCCUGGGGAGUACGGCCGCAAGGCUAAAACUCAAAGGGAAUUGGACGGGGCCCCGCACAAGCAGCGGAGCGUGGGGUUUAAUUCGAUGCAACGCGAAGAACCUUACCAGGGCUUGACAUGACCAGGAAUCCGGCGGAAACGUCGGCGUCCCGCAAGGGACCUGGCCACAGGUGUUGCAUGGCUGUCGUCAGCUCGUGUCGUGAGACGUUGGGUUAAGUCCCGCAACGAGCGCAACCCCUAUCGUGUGUUGUAUCACUCACACGAGACUGCCGAGAGAAACUCGGAGGAAGGCGGGGAUGACGUCAAGUCAGCAUGGCCCUUACGUCCUGGGCUACACCCACGCUACAAUGGCCGGUACAACGGGCUGCGAAACCGCGAGGUGGAGCUAAUCCCUUAAAGCCGGUCUCAGUUCGGAUUGUAGGCUGCAACUCGCCUACAUGAAGCCGGAGUUGCUAGUAACCC
Molecule: ribosomal RNA, 557 nt
Filed under: uncultured bacterium
Lineage: Bacteria
Description: bacterial SSU rRNA
Rfam family: Bacterial small subunit ribosomal RNA
Source: RNAcentral